RNAcentral lists this unclassified non-coding RNA (291 nucleotides) under Mucoromycotina sp. RNAcentral's name for it is "partial contains small subunit ribosomal RNA, internal transcribed spacer 1, and 5.8S ribosomal RNA". The stretch from base 1 to 47 matches the Rfam family "Eukaryotic small subunit ribosomal RNA", at positions 1785 to 1831 of the family's 1831-position model. Lineage: Eukaryota; Fungi; Mucoromycota. The record is from RNAcentral.
AAAGUCGUAACAAGGUUUCCGUAGGUGAACCUGCGGAAGGAUCAUUAAAUAAUCUUGAUUUUAUCUACUAAAAUCUUUAUUUUACUGUGAACUGUAUUAUUACGAGACGCUUGAGGGAUGCCUACUGAUUAUAAAGGAUAAGUCAGUAGGAUGUUAACCGAGUCUCGAUCAAGCUCUAACGGGCUUGGUAUCCUAAUUUAUUAUUAACCAAAUGAAUUCAGUAUAAAUAAUUGUAACAUAGACCUAAAAAAUCUAUAAAAACAACUUUUAACAACGGAUCUCUUGGUUCUC